UACGAAGGGUGCAAGCGUUAAUCUGAAUUACUGGGCGUAAAGCGCGCGUUAGGUGGUUCGUUAAGUUAGGAGUGAAAGCCCCGGGCUCAACCUGGGAAUUGCUUCUAAAACUGGCGAGCUAGAGUAUGGUAGAGGGUGGUGGAAUUUCCUGUGUAGCGGUGAAAUGCGUAGAUAUAGGAAGGAACAUCAGUGGCGAAGGCGACCACCUGGACUGAUACUGACACUGAGGUGCGAAAGCGUGGGGAGCAAACAGGAUUAGAUACCCCUGUAGU
This 272-nucleotide ribosomal RNA is filed under the name uncultured prokaryote. RNAcentral describes it as "partial 16S ribosomal RNA". It matches the Rfam family "Bacterial small subunit ribosomal RNA", at positions 524 to 794 of the family's 1533-position model. The record is from RNAcentral.